AUGCAAGACUACUUCACGGACAAUCCUACCUAUCCGUCGCACCUCUUCCGGAGAAGGUAUCGAAUGUGCCGAUCCCUCUUCAUAAAAAUAGUGCAAGCUUGAGAGGCCAAUUGUCGGUUUUUUACUCAAAGGAGAAAUGACGCGGGCUUGUUGGGUUUUAGCGCAUAUCAAAAUAUCUCGGCUGCUAUGCGGGUGAUUGCAUAUGGCAUUCUAACUGACUAUGCCGACGAGUAUAUUCGCAUUGGCGAAGAUACUACAAUUAAUUGA
RNAcentral lists this ribosomal RNA (267 nucleotides) under Triticum aestivum (bread wheat). RNAcentral describes it as "partial small subunit ribosomal RNA". The record is from RNAcentral. Lineage: Eukaryota; Viridiplantae; Streptophyta; Magnoliopsida; Poales; Poaceae.